Anas platyrhynchos (mallard) is the source of this 789-nucleotide long non-coding RNA. RefSeq lists it as uncharacterized. The record is from RefSeq and is a predicted model, not a curated record. Lineage: Eukaryota; Metazoa; Chordata; Aves; Anseriformes; Anatidae.
GGUCACAUUACAGCUUCUACAAGGAAGUAGGGAAGGAGGUGAGUGGAGAAGGAUGUACUGAGAGGAUAAAGGAGGACAAUGGGAUCACACACAGCUUCCUCUGCACAUCUGAGCACUUGGUUCUGUUUUCAAUGUCUGUGUGAAGAAUCAGGUGAAGAAAAAACCUCAGCAUAUGCCAUGAAGAAUUUUUAAAAAGAUAGAGACAUGGGAGGUGGAGAGCCCUGUUUGUGCAUGGUGGAUCUGCGAAACCUCAUGUGCUGCAAGGUGCAUCUGACAGUGGAAGUCAACCACUGGAUUCAAUCAAUAUGAGUUCUUCCUGCUCUUGUCCCUUCUGUCAGACUCCAAGAUCAGGCCUGAAGGGCAUUCUUCAAGCAACAAGUCCCAUGGAAAAGAAGCAGAGUUAAUGGAAUUGCAGUGGAAUUUCACACCAUUCAGUGCCUUUGAAAACAAAGUUUCAGCAAAUCAAGUAUUAGUGAAAAAAUAUUAAAAUCCAGCCAACAUUAUUUGCAAACUGCCAGGUGCCACAGUCACUUAUGGGAAAUGGUGAUGCACAAACGCUUGCUUGAGGGAUUCAAGGAGACAGGCCUUGGCUUCCCAAGCAGCACAGCUUGAGGGUCAGACACAAAGCAGUCUAUUUUGAGAGGAUCUGCAGUAAGAUGGCGGUAAAAGAAGCCUUGUAAAUCCUUUCAGCAGGCAAGUUAAUUACAAGAUAUGGCUACAGACAGCAUGAAUUUACCUGCCUGCCUUCUUCACUCACUCCACUUACAGCACUGGCCUGUACAAGGUCUC